RNAcentral lists this ribosomal RNA (981 nucleotides) under Triticum aestivum (bread wheat). RNAcentral describes it as "partial small subunit ribosomal RNA". The record is from RNAcentral. Lineage: Eukaryota; Viridiplantae; Streptophyta; Magnoliopsida; Poales; Poaceae.
AUGGCGACGGCCACCGCCUCCACGUCCCUCCGCCCGCCGCCGUCCCCGUCCCCGCCUCGGCUUGCGGGGUCGCUGCGCCAGUGGUGCUGGGGAACCCCUACGCAUUCCUCUCGGAGAGCAUUCCACGCGCAUCGGCGGAAGAGGAACACUUUGUUAUGCGCAGCCGUUAAAGGCCCAGAAGAAUCCUUCAAGAAGACCAUUGAAGUGGAUAGGCUGAUUGAUAUGCUGAGAGAUGCAAAUCCCGGAGAGCUUGAUCUAAUAGUGGUUGAAAAUAUUCUAGCGUUCAGUGAGGGUUUCUGGGUUCGGCUGGCUGCUCGGAUUGAUCUAUGCAAAUCGGAUGAUGAUAAAAAAGAUUAUGAAGAACUGGCAGAGAAUGUCAUGAACAUAGUUGACCGUGUCGUCCACAAGACUGAUGAGAAGAUUGAACAAUCGACUGAUGUUCUGAAGGCAAUUAUUAGUCCUGUUAUGAAUGAAGGAGAAGAUGCGAUGUGGCCACCAAGAAAUCCGGAGGCUCUCAAAUUGAUGGAAAAAGAAAUAUCAAACAGAGAAAAAGAAGGACAGCUAGAUGAGAGUUUUCUGUCAGAAGUUAAUGCUCAGCUGAGGCAAGCUAAAGAAGAUGUAGAUAAGCCAGGGCUUCAAGCAAUGCUGCAAAAGGUGUUGCAACUAUAUGCUUCCAACUUUCUCCGAAAACGCAGUUACGCUUAUAAAGGGGGAGAGGUUGUAGUGCCUGAAAAGUUUCUUGAAUCGAUAAUAGAGGCUCCCGAAAAUGACUGGAAUAGGCUGUUGCUUGAUGGACUUACAGUUGGAAAGGGAGAUGUUUCACCUGAAGAAUUUUACGCUGUUACCAAGAAGAGAAUUGAGAGAAUCUUGAUUCGCACGGAAGGUGGUUCUUAUCAGCAACGGGUACUUGUCGAAUAUAUAAAAGAGAUACAAGCUAGAGCAGAGGAAAUAGUGAACCGGCUUCAAGGCCCAGCUGUGUAA